CCAUUUGGUUUUAUCUGAAACGUGUCGAAGAGAAACUCAUUUCUCUUUUCUUCUUCUCUUUCCUUCUUCUUUCUUCUUCUUCUUCCACGUUCUUUCUCUUCCCCUCUCUGUCGAGCUCAGUUCAGAAGAGUAGAGUUGUUCUCGUGUGAGUUAUUCAUAGAUAUUAGUUAGCUUGAUGAACCAAAGAAGAUGAAGUUUGAAUUGAGGUUGUUUGAGUUCCAGGAGAAUCAGAAGAUGAUAUUGAUGAUGGAAAAGUGUCAUUCUGGGAUGAAGAAUAGAGGGGUUGUUACUGGAUUGUCCAGGUGAUGUUGUUCUGAUGAUGAAUCGAAAAGAAAAAAGUAAAUUAGAGAUUUAAUUAGGGUUUCUUUGUUAAGCUCUGUGUUGUGUGAAAUUGAUGUGUUGUUUGAUUGAAUUAGUAUAUGGGUUUGCUUUUAUUUGAAGUAGAGAUGUUCAUAUAUGGUUUAAUUUUAGUUAUGUGCAAUUCAAAUUGAAAAUUAGGGAUUUUGUAAAUAAGGGUUUGAGAUUAUAGUUGGGGAUCAAUUGAUUGGUACUGGAAGGAAGACGAAUUGAUGAUUUAGAAUUAGGGUUUUGAUUGGUGUUCUGAAUUGGAAGAAGAGAAAGGUAAUUUAGAGAAUUGUUGCUGAUGAAGUUCAAGUGGCAGGUGUAAUUGAGUUAUUGACUUUGUAUUAUGAAGUUGCUGACUUGAGGAGUUUGAGAAAGAUUAGAGUUUAAUCAUGUUGUGAUUGAAGAUGGAUGAGUGAUGUUCAGGUUGAGAUGAUUAUGUUUUGGCAGAAGCUUCGAAUGAAGUUGGGUGUGAGUGAUUGGGCUAGUGAAAGUUACUGCUAUGGAGUGUGCACAUGGUUAGUGAACUGCAGAGACUGAAUUGUGAAUAGAUACAGGUGGAGGUGAUGAUUAUAAUGGUACUGAAAUGAUUUUGUUGUGUAAGUUUGAAUUACAAGUAUUGUAAUGUUGUUGGAGUUGAGUAUCUGGUGGUAGUGGUGGUGUUGUAUGUGUGGUGUUGUAGCCUAUGGGUAGUAUGGCAAAGAAGAACUGAUACUUAACUUCUGUAAUUGCAGUUGAGAUAUUAAUGAACAUGAGGUAUGUGUUUAUUAUUGGAGGAUUGUAUCACUGGCAGUGAUAUGGAUGUUUGGUUUUGCUAUGGAUGUUGAUGCUGCUAUGAUAUAGACAAUGGUUGUGACUGAAAUUAGAAAGUAUGAAGAUUGAAAUGAAUGUAUGACUGAAGUAUUGUAGUUGAAGUUAAUCUAGUUGAAAUGAAUUAAUGAAGAAGAGUUAGGUUGUUGGCCUUGACAUGUUUGUGUUGCAUCUUGUUUGUGCAUUAGUAUUCUUUAGCCUGAGCAAUGGCUCUGGCUUGCGCUAAGGCUUUGGCCUUGUGUCUUAGACCUAUUAGUCAUCCUAGUCAGAUUGUCUGUCUGACUCUGACCUUAGAUGACUUAGGAUAUCUGACUGAGUUGAAUCGGUUCGACUCAGAACUGAAUCAGUGAGCCAAAACCAGACUUGACCAGUUUACCGUUGAUUUGACCUUUGAUUGGACUUUGAGUUUGACCUUGACUUGGAUGUUGACUGUUAAUUGACCCUUUUGACUGUUAGCGACCGUUAGUUGACUCAGAUAGACCAGGCCUUAGAUUGAUGGACUGGUUUAGUGGACUUGGGCUUAGAGUUAGUUUUCUUAUUUUGAUGAAUUAGACCCCUUAUGGUCCAAAUUAGCUUUUGGUUCCUUAAACAAAGUUGUAGGUCUUCUUAAGACUGAUCUAAUGGACUAUAGAUCCAACCCAAUUCAUUUAAUAAACCUUAGCUAUGCUAAAUAUAGAGAAUGGAAAAGAUGUAAAGUUAUGAAUGGGCUUAGAACCAUUAGUUAGACUUGUAUGAGCCUUGUAUGAGACUUUUGGCUAAUUCUUAGAGUGCUUGUGCGAUUAACAGUUAGUCUUCAUUAACAGCGACCGAUCUAAAGGAUGAACCAGUGGAAUGAGGAUCUCAAGGUAGAAGUUUUUUCCUUCAGAAUCAGUUUCAGUAAUCAGAAGAAAUGGUGCGCGCAAAGAUAUCUGAUUUCGUUGCUUAAAGUUUUAGCGUACUGAAGAUGUUUGUUUAUCUUUUGUGUAUGUAUUAUUUUUUCUUCGUAAAACAACACAUUAUUAUAUUCA
This is a long non-coding RNA of Papaver somniferum (opium poppy), 2159 nucleotides long. RefSeq lists it as uncharacterized. The transcript is spliced from 2 exons. The record is from RefSeq and is a predicted model, not a curated record. NCBI's taxonomy places the organism in Eukaryota, Viridiplantae, Streptophyta, Magnoliopsida, Ranunculales, Papaveraceae.